Molecule: transfer RNA, 69 nt
Filed under: Dendropoma gregarium
Lineage: Eukaryota; Metazoa; Mollusca; Gastropoda; Littorinimorpha; Vermetidae
Description: tRNA-Leu
Source: RNAcentral
GUAGAUAGUGGCAGAAAAGUGCAUCAGUUUUAGGCACUGAAAAUGAGAAUAUAUGAGUCUCCUUCUACU